Molecule: long non-coding RNA, 439 nt
Filed under: Vulpes vulpes (red fox)
Lineage: Eukaryota; Metazoa; Chordata; Mammalia; Carnivora; Canidae
Description: lncRNA (ENSVVUG00000005494.1)
Source: RNAcentral
AGUUGAUGGGAAGGUUGAUCUGGAAAAUAUGACACUGAAAAUGAAAGAUUCUACAGAUAAUAAGAAAGUUUUUCAGAAUACAUUGCUAUCAGCUUUGAAGUCAUUCAAAAGAGGAAAGAUCGAUGUCAAUAACCUGAACACACUUCUGAGGAACAUGGGGAUCAAGCUCAAAAAUAAAGAAUUUAAAAGUGUAGUACAUCAACCUAUGGAUGGUGAGCAUUGUAAACAAUUAUUUUGCCUUUUAGAGAACUUAGAAUCUUGGGAUCCAUGUAUAAGAAUUUCUAAAACUAGGGCAGCCCCAGUGGUGCAGCGGUUUAGCGCCACCUGCAGCCCAGGGUGUGAUCCUGGAGACCUGGGAUCAAGUCCCACAUCGGGCUCCCUGCAAGGAGCCUGCUUCUCCUUCUGCCUGUGUCUCUGCCUCUUUGUGUGUCUCUCAUGA